Molecule: ribosomal RNA, 212 nt
Filed under: Clostridia bacterium
Lineage: Bacteria; Bacillati; Bacillota; Clostridia
Description: partial 23S ribosomal RNA
Rfam family: Bacterial large subunit ribosomal RNA
Source: RNAcentral
GCAUCAGUUGUCCUGCCAAGGGCAUAGCUGAGUAGCCGCGUACGAAUGUGAUAAACGCUGAAAGCAUCUAAGCGUGAAACACACCUCAAGAUUAGAUAUCUCCAACAUUAAGUUGAUAAGGUCACUUGUAGACUACAAGUUUGAUAGGUCAGAGGUGUAAGCACAGUAAUGUGUUCAGCUGACUGAUACUAAUAGACCGAACGCUUGAACUA